This 448-nucleotide ribosomal RNA is filed under the name uncultured bacterium. Its description in RNAcentral is "bacterial SSU rRNA". It matches the Rfam family "Bacterial small subunit ribosomal RNA", at positions 355 to 796 of the family's 1533-position model. The record is from RNAcentral.
UCGAGAAUUUUUCUCAAUGGGCGAAAGCCUGAAGGAGCGACGCCGCGUGGAGGAUGAAGGUCUUCGGAUUGUAAACUCCUGUCAUUGGCGAACAAUACCUGCGGUUAACUGCCGUUGGGUUUGCUUGUAGCCAAAGAGGAAGAGACGGCUAACUCUGUGCCAGCAGCCGCGGUAAUACAGAGGUCUCAAGCGUUGUUCGGAUUUAUUGGGCGUAAAGGGUGCGUAGGCGGCAGGGUAAGUUAGAUGUGAAAUGCCAAGGCUUAACCUCGGCACUGCAUUUGAUACUGCCCUGCUUGAGCGCUAGCGAGGGGACUGGAAUUUACGGUGUAGCAGUGAAAUGCGUAGAUAUCGUAAGGAAGACCAGUGGCGAAAGCGAGUCCCUAGAUAGCUGCUGACGCUGAGGCACGAAAGCUAGGGGAGCAAACGGGAUUAGAUACCCCCGUAGUCC